CCUACGGGGUGCUGCAGUGGGGAAUAUUGGGCAAUGGGCGCAAGCCUGACCCAGCAACGCCGCGUGAAGGAAGAAGGCUUUCGGGUUGUAAACUUCUUUUCUCAGGGACGAAGAACGUGACGGUACCUGAGGAAUAAGCCACGGCUAACUACGUGCCAGCAGCCGCGGUACUACGUAGGUGGCAAGCGUUAUCCGGAUUUAUUGGGUGUAAAGGGCGUGUAGGCGGGAGCGCAAGUCAGAUGUGAUAACUCAGGGCUCAACCCUGAGCCUGCAUUUGAAACUGUGGUUCUUGAGUGCUGGAGAGGCGAGCGGAAUUCCGUGUGUAGCGGUGAAAUGCGUAGAUAUCAGGAGGAACACCGGUGGCGAAGGCGGCCUGCUGGACUGCAACUGACGUUGAGGCCCGAAAGCGUGGGGAGCAAACAGGAUUAGAUACCCCUGUAGUC
Molecule: ribosomal RNA, 443 nt
Filed under: uncultured bacterium
Lineage: Bacteria
Description: partial 16S ribosomal RNA
Rfam family: Bacterial small subunit ribosomal RNA
Source: RNAcentral